Molecule: ribosomal RNA, 468 nt
Filed under: Archaius tigris
Lineage: Eukaryota; Metazoa; Chordata; Lepidosauria; Squamata; Chamaeleonidae
Description: partial 16S ribosomal RNA
Rfam family: Bacterial large subunit ribosomal RNA
Source: RNAcentral
UAACGCCUGGCCCUGUGGAAUAUCUAAACGGCCGCGGUAUUAAAACCGUGCAAAGGUAGCACAAUCACUUGUCCCUUAAAUGAGGACCCGUAUGAAAGGCAACAUGAGAGAAGACCUGUCUCCUGAGGUUAGCCAAUGAAAUUGAAUUACCAGUACAAAAGCUGGUAUUAACAAGCAAGACAAAAAGACCCUAUGGAACUUCAACAAAUUAUUUACACAGACUAAAUAAUAGUUUCAGUUGGGACAACCUUAGAGAAAAUUAACCUCAAAACACGAGAUAGACCAACAAGUCUAAAACACUUAUGACCCAGUCACACUGAUUAACGAAACAAGCUACCCUAGGGAUAACAGCGCCACCUUCUCAAAGAGUCCAUAUCAACAAGAAGACCUACGACCUCGAUGUUGGAUCAGGGUCCCCUGACGGUGUAGCAGCUGUCAAUGGUUCGUUUGUUCAACGAUUAAUACCCU